RNAcentral lists this ribosomal RNA (513 nucleotides) under Moechotypa formosana. RNAcentral's name for it is "partial large subunit ribosomal RNA". It matches the Rfam family "Bacterial large subunit ribosomal RNA", at positions 1819 to 2603 of the family's 2925-position model. Lineage: Eukaryota; Metazoa; Arthropoda; Insecta; Coleoptera; Cerambycidae. The record is from RNAcentral.
GGCCUUUUGUUUAAAUUUUAAGGUCUAACCUGCUCGCUGAGUGUUUAAAGGGCCGCGGUAUUUUGACCGUGCUAAGGUAGCAUAAUCAUUAGUUUCUUAAUUAGAAGCUGGAAUGAAUGGUUGAAUGAAAAAAAAACUGUUUCAAAUUAAUUUAUAUUGAAUUUUAUUUUUAAGUAAAAAAGCUUAAAUUAAUUUAAAAGACGAGAAGACCCUAUAGAGUUUUAUAAAUAUAUUUUUUAAAUUUUUAGAAAUUUUAAUUAUUUAAUUGAAAAUUUUAUUUGAUUGGGGUGAUUGAAAAAUUUAAUAAACUUUUUUUAAUUAAAACAUUAAUUUAUGAUUAUAUGAUCCAAAUUUUCUGAUUAGGAGAUUAAAUUACCUUAGGGAUAACAGCGUUAUUUUAUUGGAGAGUUCAAAUCAAUAAUAAAGUUUGCGACCUCGAUGUUGGAUUAAAAUUAAUUUUUGGUGUAGAAGCUAGGAAGUUUAGGUCUGUUCGACCUUUAAAAUUUUACAUGA